RNAcentral lists this ribosomal RNA (1257 nucleotides) under metagenome. Its description in RNAcentral is "bacterial SSU rRNA". It matches the Rfam family "Bacterial small subunit ribosomal RNA", at positions 239 to 1498 of the family's 1533-position model. The record is from RNAcentral.
UAUCAGCUUGUUGGUGGGGUAAUGGCCUACCAAGGCACUGACGGGUAGUCGGCGUGAGAGCGCGACCGGCCACAUCGGGACUGAGACACUGCCCGGACACCUACGGGUGGCUGCAGCAACGAAUAUUGGACAAUGGACGAAAGUCUGAUCCAGCGACGCCGCGUGGAGGAUGAAGUCCCUCGGGAUGUAAACUCCAAUAGUUUGUCAGGAAGCAAUCCGGCCGAAUAAGCCGGUGCGUUGACCAGCAUACGAAAGGGGUGGCUAACUCCGUGCCAGCAGCCGCGGUAACACGGGGACCCCUAGCGUUGUUCGGAAUUACUGGGCUUAAAGCGGGUGUAGGCGGAGCGGUAAGUACCUUGUGAAAGCCCGGGCUCAACCCGGGAAUGGCUGGGUAUACUGUCGUUCUUGAGGCAGGCAGGGGUCACUGGAACCUUAGGUGGAGCGGUGAAAUGCGUAGAGAUCUAAGGGAACGCCUGUGGCGAAAGCGGGUGACUGGGCCUGUUCUGACGCUGAGACCCGAAAGCGUAGGGAGCGAACGGGAUUAGAUACCCCGGUAGUCUACGCCGUAAACGAUGCGCACUAGGUUCGAGGGCUUCUGACAGUCUUCGUGCCGAAACAAAAGCGAUAAGUGCGCCGCCUGGGGAGUACGGCCGCAAGGCUAAAACUCAAAGGAAUUGACGGGGGCUCACACAAGCGGUGGAGCAUGUGGAUCAAUUCGAAACAACGCGCAGAACCCUACCUGGGUUUGACAUGUACGGAUGCCCUCGGUGAAAGUCGAGUAAGCUGCCUUCGGGUGAAACGUGCACAGGUGCAUGGCUGUCGUCAGCUCGUGCUGUGAAGUGUCGGGUUAAGUCCCUUAACGAGCGAAACCCUUGUCGCUAGUUGCCAGCGGGUAAAGCCGGGAACUCUAGCGAGACUGCCGGCGUUAAGCCGGAGGAAGGCGGGGAUGACGUCAAGUCAUCAUGGCCUUUAUGCUCAGGGUGUCACACGUGCUACAAUGGGGCGUACAGAGCGAAGCGAGGCCGUGAGGCGGAGCAAAUCGCACAAAACGUCCCUCAGUUCGGAUUGGGGUCUGCAAUUCGACCCCAUGAAGUCGGAAUCGCUAGUAAUCGCGUAUCAGCCAUGACGCGGUGAAUAUGUUCCUGAGCCUUGUACACACCGCCCGUCAAGUCAUGGGAAUCGGGAGUUCCCGAAGUCGCAGCGUUUCGGCUGUGCCGACGGAAAGCCCGGUGACUGGGACUAAGUCGUAACAAGGUA